Pelodiscus sinensis (Chinese soft-shelled turtle) is the source of this 164-nucleotide small nuclear RNA. Its record names the gene U1. It matches the Rfam family "U1 spliceosomal RNA". Rfam says of the family: U1 is a small nuclear RNA (snRNA) component of the spliceosome (involved in pre-mRNA splicing). Its 5' end forms complementary base pairs with the 5' splice junction, thus defining the 5' donor site of an intron. The record is from Ensembl. Lineage: Eukaryota; Metazoa; Chordata; Testudines; Trionychidae.
AUACAUACCUCUCAGGGGAAAUAGCAUGGUCAUAAAGGUGGCUUUUCGAGGGUGAAGCUCAUCUAUUGCACUAUGGUUGUGUUGAUUUCUGUAAUUUCCCCAAAGGUGGAAAAUUUGAUUCCACCAUUUGUAGUAGUGGAGGACUGUAUUUGUGCUUUUCCCUG